RNAcentral lists this long non-coding RNA (3598 nucleotides) under Paramuricea clavata. The record is from RNAcentral. Lineage: Eukaryota; Metazoa; Cnidaria; Anthozoa; Malacalcyonacea; Plexauridae.
UUAGAGCCAAUUUAAAAUGUUUAAAUUCAGUUAAUGAGACAACAUGUUGAAAGCAAGUGUUUUGCAAGCUUAUCCUCAUUGACACAUGCAUGACAAAGGUGCAAGUCGACAUUUCCGUGUAUUGUUGGUGGGUCAAAGGUUAUUUUCUUGAAGCAGCACUGUGUUCACGUGAAUAUUAAUGAAAGAAACGCUUUUAGCCAAUGAAAAGCUUUUACGUAUCCCAACUAAAACCAAUAGCCAAUCGCAAAGCAAGUAGGAGCAUAAGUUAUGCAUCACGCGCAAUUUUUUGGCAUUAUUUGCUCAAAGCUUUUGAAGGAUUUACCUUCGAGCUCCAUGUUACAAAGUUUAAAUUUUGGAGAAGAUAUUUCGUGGAUAUAAAACAACGGUCAGUAACACAGUAUCAUUCAGUGAGACGCAGUUUGUUCAAAUAUAGCUCUGCCGCGGGCAAGCGCUUUUACUCUUCUGGUGGACGAAAGAAUACGUUGGCUCAAGUAUUGAUGUAUAAUUCAGUGAGACGCAGUUUAUCAGUAAAAUAUAACUCUGCCGCGGGCAACCGCUUUUACUCUUCUGGUGGACAAAGGAAUACUAACGUUGGCUCAAGUAUUGAUGUGUGAUUCAGUGAGACGAUGUUUAUUCAAAUAUAACUCUGCUGCGGGCAAGCGCUUUUACUCUUCUGGUGGAUAAAGGAACACGUUGGCUCAAGUAUCGAUGUGUGAUUCAGCGAGACGCACUCUAUUCAAGUAUAACUCUACCGUGGUCAAGCGCGUUUAUACCCUUCUGGUGGACAAAGGAAUACGUUGGCUCAACCGAUGAAGUUAAAUGAAACCGCCGCUGGGGGAAUUAUAACAAGAUCGAGAGGCUAAACACGAAUUCAACAAGCGUCAUUUGAUAUCAUUCGAAUUCGUAUAUCAAUGUAUUUAUGUAUGCACAUGCAUUUGGUGUGUAAAUAUGCGGUUAAUUCUCACGUUUGCUUCGUAUUUCGCUUUUCAAAACAACCAAAAUGCUUUAACUUCAUCUAUUUUAUUUUUAUCACAGAAUUCGGGUAUAGUAAUUGUCGAACGCCAAAUGUAUCGACUAUUCACGCUAAAUCGAUCUGUAUUUCAAUGUCAAUUUUAUUACCAUCUUGAGUUUUUUAACCGGCCAGAUUGGGCCUCGGAUUCGGGGAUUGGGUUUCAAUAAAGCGUAACAUUAAACUGUAUUCAAUUAUUCAAAAGUAGAUUAUAAAACUUCCUUUCUAGCUAUAUCAGGGCACUCUUUAAUUAAUAAAACAAACACUAAUUUGGCCCGUAUACAUUAUCUAUACCUUACUGGAGAAAACAUAGGAAAUCAAGUUCAUGUGUGAGAGAAAUUUAGGAUCUACUUUAUCUACAUUUGCGAUAAAUCGGCAAGUUGGAUGUCAUGAAAGAUUGGUACGUACAGUGUAUAGUAUGUCGCUACUCAUGAAAAUUCAUUAAUGUCUUGUCACUAUACUGCAUGAUCUUUUUAGUCUACCAAAUACAUAUUCUUACAAUUUCUGCUACUCUCAUGCAUGCAUGAUUGCAUGUUCAAUCACAACACCGUGGUUAUAAACACCUAAAUUGCAUUUUGAUCCUGCUAUUUUUAAAUAUUGAACAAGCUAUUUUUCUGAGAUUAAAGUCACAUAAUUCGAGACCCGAAUUCAUGAUAGUGGAAAUCAAAGUCUCCAAAACAGACCCAUUCCGUAUGGGUCAAACAAUCACAGUUGGCGCGUCCAACUCGCCCCUAUGUCCUGUUUUGGCAAUGAAGAAGUACCUCUUGGUUAGAAAAACAACGGGUGGUCCACUCUUUGUUCAUGUUUCUGGAAAACCUCUUACCAAACAAACUUUAACGGCUGAGACUCGGUUUUUAUAAAAACCAAGCAGGUUUUAAUGCGUCACACUAUGCUGGUCAUAGCUACCGAAUUGGGGCCGCUACAACUGCAGAUUCAGCUAAUUUGCCUGCGUGGCUCAUUAAAACUCUAGGACGAUGGUCUUCCGAUUGCUAUGAACGAUACAUUCGUAUUCCAUCUUUUACCCUGUCAAAGGCAUCUGCCACCAUGACUGCAUCAUUUAAUUUAAAAAAAAUAAAUUUUUAAAAUAAAAAAAAUAAAAAAAAUAAAAAAAAUAAAAAAAGGGGGGAAGGGCGUUUUCGUCUAUGGGGAACACUCUAUCGUGUGUUUUUGGGGAAGAAGUAUUCCAAUAUGUCAACUUCAUUUCCCAUAGACUCUAAUAACGUCACAUAUAAAUAUAUAUUUCAAAUAAUAGGGACUGUCUAAGCGGUUCUGUGGACCUUAGACAGGUUAGGGACUGCCCAAGUGGGCAGGUUAGGGACUGUCCAAGUGUGCUCUUGGUCAGAUACGUCAGGGGGUCGCUACUCCUGACUAGCAUUAUCAGUUCAGUACAGUAUUAGGUAUGUGACGAUGAGGAGGGAUGUCGUUUGGCAUAAACACAGAGUACUUCCCCCCAAAACACCCCUUCUCCCACAAAACCAAAACGUGUGUUUUUUAUUGUGUUAAUUACAGUUUAUAUUCAAUGAUUCAAUCUUUGGAUCAUUAAAGCCAAUUUAAAAUGUUUAAAUUCAGUUAAUGAGACAACAUGUUGAAAGCAAGUGUUUUGCAACCUUAUCCUCAUUGACACAUGCAUGACAAAGGUGCAAGUCGACAUUUCCGUGUAUUGUUGGUGGGUCAAAGGUUAUUUUCUUGAAGCAGCACUGUGUUCACGUGAAUAUUAAUGAAAGAAACGCUUUUAGCCAAUGAAAAGCUUUUACGUAUCCCAACUAAAACCAAUAGCCAAUCGCAAAGCAAGUAGGAGCAUAAGUUAUGCAUCACGCGCAAUUUUUUGGCAUUAUUUGCUCAAAGCUUUUGAAGGAUUUACCUUCGAGCUCCAUGUUACAAAGUUUAAAUCCCACCCACCCACCCCAUCUUACUUGCACUUUGGUUACUGCAUUUGCUUCCAACACCUUGUCCACAUAGUAGUUGGUAAAAGGAUCUCAUUAUAAUUAGCAUAUUAUAAAGAAACAAUGGCUUCCUGCUGUAAAGCUUUCCAAAAUGAAAGACUAUAAGAGGUGUAAAAGCACCUAUGGACACAAGUUUUUAUAAUAUGGUAAAUAAAUAAAAAAUUGUUAUUGUUCUGGCUGGUCUUCGCUGGUAAUAAAAGCUUUCCAAAGUGAAAGACUAUCAGAGGUGUAAAAGUGCCUAUGGACACAAGUUUUACAAUAUGGUAAAUAAUAAAAAUUGUUAUGGUUAUAAAUAAAUAAAUAAACAUUGGGUUCCGGGGAAGAAGUAUUCCAAUAUGUCAACUUCAUUUCCCAUAGACUCUAGUAACGUCACAUAUAAAUAUAUAUUUCAAAUAAUAGGGACUGUCUAAGCGGUUCUGUGGACCUUAGACAGGUUAGGGACUGCCCAAGUGGGCAGGUUAGGGACUGUCCAAGUGUGCUCUUGGUCCGAUACGUCAGGGGGUCGCUACUCCUGACUAGCAUUAUCAGUUCAGUACAGUAUUAGGUAUGUGACGAUGAGGAGGGAUGUCGUUUGGCAUAAACACAGAGUACUUCCCCCCAAAACACCCCUUCUCCCACAAAACCAAAACGUGUGUUUUUUAUUGUG